This is a long non-coding RNA of Ceratitis capitata (Mediterranean fruit fly), 400 nucleotides long. RefSeq lists it as uncharacterized. NCBI's taxonomy places the organism in Eukaryota, Metazoa, Arthropoda, Insecta, Diptera, Tephritidae. The transcript has 2 exons. The record is from RefSeq and is a predicted model, not a curated record.
CUAGUUUUGGCACAGGCAGACGGACACUCAGAAUUUUGUACACAUUUUUCUCUACCUAUUCAAGUUAAAGCAAUCAUUUUAUUUCACUUAAUUCUGUAGGAAUUUAAUCAAGUUUCAAUUGAAAUGGUUUAGGUGGUAGAACUUUAAGAAUUUUCGCACUGAGUGAUUUUUUCCACCAUUUCCGUGUCACUGCCUACAUUGCUCUCAACUACAGCAAGGUUUGGCAAAAUAUCUGUAGUUUUGCUGUUAUUUAAUUUUUUUCUACACUUCUUUUUAUUACGUUUUCAAGUCAUUUUUGUUGUGCACCAGUUAACUCGUUGCCAUUUUCAUUUUAUUAGUUUGAAAAUCCAUUUAGCAUUGUUUGAACUUAGAAUUUUCUGCACGGUAUAUUAUUUGUCUU